RNAcentral lists this ribosomal RNA (431 nucleotides) under uncultured bacterium. RNAcentral's name for it is "partial 16S ribosomal RNA". It matches the Rfam family "Bacterial small subunit ribosomal RNA", at positions 29 to 507 of the family's 1533-position model. The record is from RNAcentral.
AACGAACGCUGGCGGCAUGCCUAACACAUGCAAGUCGAACGAGACCUUCGGGUCUAGUGGCGCACGGGUGCGUAACGCGUGGGAACCUGCCCUUAGGUUCGGAAUAACUCCCCGAAAGGGGUGCUAAUACCGGAAUGUCUCCGGACCAAAGAUUUAUCGCCUUUGGAUGGGCCCGCGUUGGAUUAGCUAGUUGGUAGGGUAAAAGCCUACCAAGGCGACGAUCCAUAGCUGGUCUGAGAGGAUGAUCAGCCACACUGGGACUGAGACACGGCCCAGACUCCUACGGGAGGCAGCAGUGGGGAAUAUUGGACAAUGGGCGAAAGCCUGAUCCAGCAAUGCCGCGUGAGUGAUGAAGGCCUUAGGGUUGUAAAGCUCUUUUACCCGGGAUGAUAAUGACAGUACCGGGAGAAUAAGCUCCGGCUAACUCCGUG